AUUGAACGCUGGCGGCAGGCCUAACACAUGCAAGUCGAACGGUAACAGGAAGAAGCUUGCUUCUUUGCUGACGAGUGGCGGACGGGUGAGUAAUGUCUGGGAAACUGCCUGAUGGAGGGGGAUAACUACUGGAAACGGUAGCUAAUACCGCAUAACGUCGCAAGACCAAAAAGGGGGACCUUCGGGCCUCUUGCCAUCGGAUGUGCCCAGAUGGGAUUAGCUAGUAGGUGGGGUAACAGCUCACCUAGGCGACGAUCCCUAGCUGGUCUGAGAGGAUGACCAGCCACACUGGAACUGAGACACGGUCCAGACUCCUACGGGAGGCAGCAGUGGGGAAUAUUGCACAAUGGGCGCAAGCCUGAUGCAGCCAUGCCGCGUGUAUGAAGAAGGCCUUCGGGUUGUAAAGUACUUUCAGCGGGGAGGAAGGGAGUAAAGUUAAUACCUUUGCUCAUUGACGUUACCCGCAGAAGAAGCACCGGCUAACUCCGUG
This 490-nucleotide ribosomal RNA is filed under the name uncultured bacterium. RNAcentral describes it as "partial 16S ribosomal RNA". It matches the Rfam family "Bacterial small subunit ribosomal RNA", at positions 30 to 507 of the family's 1533-position model. The record is from RNAcentral.